UACGGAGGGUGCAAGCGUUAAUCGGAAUUACUGGGCGUAAAGCGCACGCAGGCGGUUGGAUAAGUUAGAUGUGAAAGCCCCGGGCUCAACCUGGGAAUUGCAUUUGUGACUGCAUAGCUAGAGUACGGUAGAGGGGGAUGGAAUUCCGCGUGUAGCAGUGAAAUGCGUAGAUAUGCGGAGGAACACCGAUGGCGAAGGCAAUCCCCUGGACCUGUACUGACGCUCAUGCACGAAAGCGUGGGGAGCAAACAGG
RNAcentral lists this ribosomal RNA (253 nucleotides) under uncultured prokaryote. Its description in RNAcentral is "partial 16S ribosomal RNA". It matches the Rfam family "Bacterial small subunit ribosomal RNA", at positions 524 to 776 of the family's 1533-position model. The record is from RNAcentral.